GUGCUCGCUGCACUUUCGUGAAUCGGCAUUCCUGCGGCCCGGUUUUCUUUGUCAAGACGCAGUACCUACGGUAUUUCCUGUCAUCGCAGGCGCCGGAGCUAACCAUGACAACACGUGUGGUGACCGUGGCCAGCAUCGUGUCCAGGCUUCAAAGACUGAAGAGUCGGGUUCGCCAGGCCACGUGAACUCGUACCUCCCAGAAAACGCCUUGUCCACGGGCUGCCAAGCGAAUGAGACGGCCGCGCGGAAAGUAUCCAGUUUAGCAGAAACUGCAGGGUGGUGCGCAACGGAGGGUCAUUGCGACCACACCUACGCCCGUCCAUCACAUGGAUGCGUAGCACCUUCCCAAGAAGUCCCAG
This 359-nucleotide long non-coding RNA is filed under the name Rhipicephalus sanguineus (brown dog tick). RNAcentral's name for it is "uncharacterized LOC119381473". Lineage: Eukaryota; Metazoa; Arthropoda; Arachnida; Ixodida; Ixodidae. The record is from RNAcentral.